Molecule: ribosomal RNA, 452 nt
Filed under: uncultured Planctomycetota bacterium
Lineage: Bacteria; Pseudomonadati; Planctomycetota
Description: bacterial SSU rRNA
Rfam family: Bacterial small subunit ribosomal RNA
Source: RNAcentral
UGACGAAGCGACGCCGCGUGGGUGAGGAAGGCCUUCGGGUUGUAAAGCCCUGUCAGGAGUUAAGAAAUGUAAGUGCGCUAAUACCGCAUUUAUUUGACGAAGGCUCCAAAGGAAGCCACGGCUAACUCUGUGCCAGCAGCCGCGGUAAUACAGAGGUGGCAAGCGUUGUUCGGAAUUAUUGGGCGUAAAGAGCACGUAGGUGGGUUUGUAAGUCAGAUGUGAAAGCCUUCUGUUCAACGGAAGAAUUGCAUCUGAAACUGCGAGUCUUGAGUGUAGGAGGGGAGAAUGGAACUUCUGGUGGAGCGGUGAAAUGCGUAGAUAUCAGAAGGAACGCCGGCGGCCAAAGCGAUUCUCUGGCCUAUUACUGACACUCAGUGUGCGAAAGCUAGGGGAGCAAACGGGAUUAGAUACCCCGGUAGUCCUAGCCGUAAACGAUGGGCACUAAGUAGAGG